Molecule: ribosomal RNA, 391 nt
Filed under: Vibrio campbellii
Lineage: Bacteria; Pseudomonadati; Pseudomonadota; Gammaproteobacteria; Vibrionales; Vibrionaceae
Description: bacterial SSU rRNA
Rfam family: Bacterial small subunit ribosomal RNA
Source: RNAcentral
UAACGGCGUCGAGCGGCGGACGGGUGAGUAAUGCCUAGGAAAUUGCCCUGAUGUGGGGGAUAACCAUUGGAAACGAUGGCUAAUACCGCAUAACGCCUACGGGCCAAAGAGGGGGACCUUCGGGCCUCUCGCGUCAGGAUAUGCCUAGGUGGGAUUAGCUAGUUGGUGAGGUAAGGGCUCACCAAGGCGACGAUCCCUAGCUGGUCUGAGAGGAUGAUCAGCCACACUGGAACUGAGACACGGUCCAGACUCCUACGGGAGGCAGCAGUGGGGAAUAUUGCACAAUGGGCGCAAGCCUGAUGCAGCCAUGCCGCGUGUGUGAAGAAGGCCUUCGGGUUGUAAAGCACUUUCAGUCGUGAGGAAGGUAGUGUAGUUAAUAGCUGCAUUAUUU